RNAcentral lists this ribosomal RNA (231 nucleotides) under uncultured bacterium. RNAcentral describes it as "partial 16S ribosomal RNA". It matches the Rfam family "Bacterial small subunit ribosomal RNA", at positions 328 to 545 of the family's 1533-position model. The record is from RNAcentral.
ACGCUCGACACCUACUGGAGGCAGCAGUAGGGAAUUUUCGGCAAUGGGGGGAACCCUGACCGAGCAACGCCGCGUGAAGGAAGAAGGAAUUCGUUCUGUAAACUUCUGUUAUAAAGGAAGAACGGCGGAUAUAGGGAAUGAUAUCCGAGUGACGGUACUUUAUGAGAAAGCCACGGCUAACUACGUGCCAGCACGCCGGACGGUAAUCUGAGGCCGGGCGUGGACGAAGGC